RNAcentral lists this ribosomal RNA (409 nucleotides) under Trox gemmulatus. Its description in RNAcentral is "partial 16S ribosomal RNA". The stretch from base 1 to 155 matches the Rfam family "Archaeal large subunit ribosomal RNA", at positions 1898 to 2099 of the family's 2987-position model. The record is from RNAcentral. Lineage: Eukaryota; Metazoa; Arthropoda; Insecta; Coleoptera; Trogidae.
AACAAAAACAUGUCUUUUUGAUUAUAAUUUAAAGUCUAACCUGCCCAAUGAAUAAUUUGAAUGGCCGCGGUAUUUUGACCGUGCUAAGGUAGCAUAAUAAUUAGUUUUUUAAUUGAAAACUGGUAUGAAUGGUUGAACGAGGAAAAAUCUGUCUCAAUUUAAUUUAAUUAGAAUUUUAUUUUUAAGUAAAAAAGCUUAAAUAAUUUUAAAAGACGAGAAGACCCUAUAGAGUUUUAUAAUUAAUUAUUAAUUAGAUUAUUAGGAUUAUUUUUUUAAUUUUUAAUUGAUUAUUUUGUUGGGGUGACAAAAAAAUUUAAUAAACUUUUUUUAUAUAUUUUCAUUGAUUUAUGAAUAAAUGAUCCAUUUUUUAUGAUUAUAAGAUUAAAUUACCUUAGGGAUAACAGCGUAA